GUGGGGAAUCUUGCGCAAUGGGCGAAAGCCUGACGCAGCGACGCCGCGUGAGUGAUGAAGGCCUUCGGGUUGUAAAGCUCUGUGGAGAGGGACGAAUUAGCCAUGGCUAACAUCCAUGGUGAUGACGGUACCUCUUUAGCAAGCACCGGCUAACUCUGUGCCAGCAGCCGCGGUAAGACAGAGGGUGCAAACGUUGUUCGGAAUUACUGGGCGUAAAGCGCGUGUAGGCUGCUCUGCAAGUCGGGUGUGAAAGCCCUGGGCUCAACCUAGGAAGAGCACUCGAAACUGCAGAGCUUGAGUCCUGGAGAGGAUAGCGGAAUUCUCGGUGUAGAGGUGAAAUUCGUAGAUAUCGAGAGGAACACCGGUGGCGAAGGCGGCUAUCUGGACAGUGACUGACGCUGAGACGCGAAAGCGUGGGGAGCAAACAGGAUUAGAUACCCUAGUAGUCC
Molecule: ribosomal RNA, 449 nt
Filed under: uncultured bacterium
Lineage: Bacteria
Description: bacterial SSU rRNA
Rfam family: Bacterial small subunit ribosomal RNA
Source: RNAcentral